Vigna radiata var. radiata (mung bean) is the source of this 953-nucleotide long non-coding RNA. RefSeq lists it as uncharacterized. The transcript has 2 exons. The record is from RefSeq and is a predicted model, not a curated record. NCBI's taxonomy places the organism in Eukaryota, Viridiplantae, Streptophyta, Magnoliopsida, Fabales, Fabaceae.
UUUGUUUGAGCCUUAAUAUCACGGAACCUUUGUAGUUUAAUUUCCAUUUUUGUUUUUGGGUUAAGUGACUUGGGAAAAUGCUCUAGAAGCAAUUCCAAGAUCACAUUUGAACAUUGUAGUAGUGUAAUUUCGUUUUCUUAGUGUGGAAGUGUGUCAAGGGGCUCCAAGUGUCACUUGCACUUUCACUUAAGGCCGUCUAGCAUUUACAUUUUGCACCUUUAUUGCUUUCUUUAAUUUGCUUGUUGAUUUCUUUGUAUUUGCUUGUUGAUUUCUUUGUUUUAAGUCUUCGUGGUAUAUAGGAUUGCAUAGCAUAUAGGUAAACCUUCUUUUGGUUUUUAGGAUCAUUCCAUUAAUUGUAGAGAUUCUUUGUUUAGGUUCUUUUAUUGUUUCCUUUCUAGACUUGUAAUUAGGAUUUGCUAGGUUAAUAUCAUUCUGUCUUAGGUAUCUUUUGCUUAUUAGGUUUAGGUUAUUUUUUUUUCCUUUUGCUGUUUUGCUUUGUUGAGCCUUAGUAUAGGAAUUGUUUUAAGUUGUCCAGUAGGAAAUGUUUUUCCUUUUCAUCAUACUGUAUUGUUUUGUCUUAUUUGUUUAGAUUGUAAAUAGCUUAGGUAAUCAUGGUUAGUCUUAGUUGUUUCUCGGGCUGUCCUGAAGGCAGAUCCAAGUUUGGAUGAAGCUCCUUGGCCAUCUUUAUCAGCUGAUGCAGUGGAUUUUGUAAAGAGACUGUUGAACAAAGAUUAUCGGAAAAGGCUAAUGGCAGCUCAGGCUCCGAGUCAUCCAUGGCUGACGAGUCAUUGUGAUGAUGUGAAGAUACCUAUUGAUAAGAUAAUCCACAAGCUUGUUAAAGCUUAUAUAUGUUUAUCUUCCUUACACAAAUAAGCAUUAGGGGUAUGUAAUAUUGCCUCGUCAUUUGUUAUUUAUGCUAAUGAAGGCCAAUCUUAAUUUUUCCCUUGCUACCA